This 500-nucleotide ribosomal RNA is filed under the name uncultured bacterium. RNAcentral describes it as "partial 16S ribosomal RNA". It matches the Rfam family "Bacterial small subunit ribosomal RNA", at positions 30 to 523 of the family's 1533-position model. The record is from RNAcentral.
AUUGAACGCUGGCGGCAGGCUUAACACAUGCAAGUCGAGCGGGGGAAGGUAGCUUGCUACCGGACCUAGCGGCGGACGGGUGAGUAAUGCUUAGGAAUCUGCCUAUUAGUGGGGGACAACAUCUCGAAAGGGAUGCUAAUACCGCAUACGUCCUACGGGAGAAAGCAGGGGAUCUUCGGACCUUGCGCUAAUAGAUGAGCCUAAGUCGGAUUAGCUAGUUGGUGGGGUAAAGGCCUACCAAGGCGACGAUCUGUAGCGGGUCUGAGAGGAUGAGCCGCCACACUGGGACUGAGACACGGCCCAGACUCCUACGGGAGGCAGCAGUGGGAAUAUUGGACAAUGGGGGGAACCCUGAUCCAGCCAUGCCGCGUGUGUGAAGAAGGCCUUAUGGUUGUAAAGCACUUUAAGCGAGGAGGAGGCUACUCUAGUUAAUACCUAGGGAUAGUGGACGUUACUCGCAGAAUAAGCACCGGCUAACUCUGUGCCAGCCGCCGCGGUAA